RNAcentral lists this ribosomal RNA (528 nucleotides) under Natrialba sp. RNAcentral describes it as "bacterial SSU rRNA". It matches the Rfam family "Archaeal small subunit ribosomal RNA", at positions 379 to 883 of the family's 1478-position model. The record is from RNAcentral. Lineage: Archaea; Methanobacteriati; Methanobacteriota; Halobacteria; Halobacteriales; Natrialbaceae.
CUCCAGGUGCGAGGGUAUAUAGCUCUCUCGUCUUUUCUCGACCGUAGGGACUGUGCGAGGAACAAGGUGCUGGGCAAGCACCGGUCGCCACGCCCGCCGCGGAUAAUCACCGGCAGCACAAGUGAUGACCGUCUUGUUUAUUGGCGCCUAAAGCGCUCCGUAGUCGUGGCCAGACAAGUUUCAUCGGGAAAUCUGUGCGCCUAACGCACAGGCGUCCGGUGGAAACUGCCUGGCUUUGGGACCGGAAGAACCAGAGGGGUACGUCUGGGGUAGGAGUGAAAUCCCGUAAUCCUGGACGGCACCACCGGUGGCGAAAGCGCCUCUGGAAGACGGAUCCGACGGUGAGGGACGAAAGCUCGGGUCACGAACCGGAUUAUAUACCCGGGUAGUCCGAGCUGUAAACGAUGUCUGCUAGGUGUGACACAGGCUACGAGCCUGUGUUGUGCCGUAGGGAAGCCGUGAAGCACUACCGCCUGGGAAGUACGUCCGCAAGGAUGAAACUUAAAGGAAUUGGCGGGGGAGAGCACA